This 469-nucleotide ribosomal RNA is filed under the name uncultured bacterium. RNAcentral's name for it is "partial 16S ribosomal RNA". It matches the Rfam family "Bacterial small subunit ribosomal RNA", at positions 28 to 507 of the family's 1533-position model. The record is from RNAcentral.
GAUGAACGCUGGCGGCGCGCCUAACACAUGCCAGUCGAACGGUUAAAGCACCUUUUAGGUGUGUAUAAAGUGGCGAACGGCUGAGUAACACGUUGGCAACCUGCCCUCCUCUUGGGGAUAGCCUCGGGAAACCGAGGAUAAUACCCGAUACUUCAAUGUGGCCGCAUGACGACAUUGAGAAAGCUUUUGCGGAGAAGGAUGGGCCCGCGGCCUGUUAGCUUGUUGGUGGGGUAGAGGCCUACCAAGGCAAUGAUGGGUAGCUGGGUUGAGAGACCGACCAGCCAGAUUGGGACUGAGAAACGGCCCAGACUCCUACGGGAGGCAGGAGGGGGGAAGCUUGCACAAUGGGCGAAAGCCUGAUGCAGCGAAGCCGCGUGCGGGACGAAGGCCUUCGGGUUGGAAACCGCUUUCAGCAGGGACGAGGCGAUAAGUGACGGUACCUGCAGAAGAAGCCCCGGCUAACUACGUG